GUUGGGUACUCUAUUGAGACUGCCGCUGACAAGGCGGAGGAAGGUGGGGACGACGUCAAGUCAUCAUGGCCCUUACGACCAGGGCUACACACGUGCUACAAUGGGUAUUACAGAGGGCUGCGAAGGUGCGAGCUGGAGCGAAACUCAGAAAGGUACUCUUAGUCCGGAUUGCAGUCUGCAACUCGACUGCAUGAAGUCGGAAUCGCUAGUAAUCGCAGGUCAGAAUACUGCGGUGAAUAC
Molecule: ribosomal RNA, 240 nt
Filed under: Francisella philomiragia
Lineage: Bacteria; Pseudomonadati; Pseudomonadota; Gammaproteobacteria; Thiotrichales; Francisellaceae
Description: partial ribosomal RNA
Rfam family: Bacterial small subunit ribosomal RNA
Source: RNAcentral